AUUGAACGCUGGCGGCAGGCCUAACACAUGCAAGUCGAGCGAGCGGCGGACGGGUGAGUAAUGUCUGGGAAACUGCCUGAUGGAGGGGGAUAACUACUGGAAACGGUAGCUAAUACAGCAUACCAUCAGCUGUGCCCAGGUGGGAUUGGCGAGUAGGUGGGGUAAAGGCUAACCUAGGCGACGAGCCCUAGCUGGUCUGAGAGGAUGACCAGCCACAGUGGAACUGAGACAGGGUCCAGACGCCUACGGGAGGCAGCAGUGGGGAAUAUUGCACUAUGGGCGCAAGCCGGAUGCAGCCAUGCCGCGUGUUGGAAGACGGCCUUCGGGUUGUAAAGCUCUGUCAGCGGGGAGCCGUGAUCAGCAGAAGAAGCACGGGCUAACUCCGUGCCAGCAGCCGCGGUAAUUC
RNAcentral lists this ribosomal RNA (406 nucleotides) under uncultured bacterium. RNAcentral describes it as "partial 16S ribosomal RNA". It matches the Rfam family "Bacterial small subunit ribosomal RNA", at positions 29 to 526 of the family's 1533-position model. The record is from RNAcentral.